UUCAAGAGUCGAAGAACACUUCAAAAAUUGAUCAGAACUGUCACAUAUCAAAUCAACACAGCCAACAUCACAAGGGACAUAGGUCACACCGAAGCAGUGCUGAAGAAACUCGUGGAGUAACGGCUUAUCCCAGACCUGCAGCUUCCCCACUUUACGCGUAAGAGAAGAAAGAGAGGCAUGGCAUAAUCUUAUUUGGUUUAGCAUAAACUUCUUUCUGGUUAACUAUAUUUUGAAAGGUAUGUACAGUUUUUAUUGUGGCUGUAUGCUUUUGUACUCGAUAGGACAGGAUGGCGUUCUGAUUUAUCAUCAGCUUGCUGCUGGAAAUGUUGUAGGAUGCUUUUAGCAUGGAAAUCAAAAUUUUGUCAAAAAUAUUUAAUGCUUUAUGUUUUUGAGGAUGUCCAUCCAUGAAUGUCAAUAAUCCUGGUUAACUGAAUUGAAUGUGCUAAUAAUUUUUUAUCCAAUUUCUUGUUAGAAUAAUGUAAGGAGCAGUUACUGGUGGGGUAACAGCUAGUUUGGUAUGCUGGGAGAUAUCAUUAUUGCUAUUCUACCAUAGGAGAAAAGAUUCAAACAAAACCAACUCUUUGCAAUCACAAUUCUCAUAAUCCUAAUUUUAUAUUGGAAAAGAUCAAAUUAUAUUUGAAAUUUGAGACAACAAACAGGUCACAUACCAAAAUUUUCCCACUCAAAGUGGAUUAGUUGAACCAUCAAUUAAGCAUCCACUACCACUAUUCUAUAUCCAAACUGAAAAGCAAAGAAGAAAAAAGAAUGAAGAGAAACGCAAAUCGAAAAGCAAAUUUGACUUAUCGAAAUGGGAUUCGAGAAGGCAGAAUGAUAUUUUACCGAUUCCAAAUAAAUGAAUCUAGAUUCAUUCACUUUCCACUCUUUUAUGUGUCCCAUAAAAUGGAACCUUGCAAUAUAAACAUAUACAUAAGGUUAAUCAUUUCCUAAAAUCAAAGUAUAAUUAAAAGAAUUUAAAAAUGCAAGUGAUGAAAUUUGGCUAAGACAAGUGUUGGACACUUUCUAGUUUCUCCUUAAGAUGAAUUUACCUUGCAUUGGUGCUAACGGUUUUCCGACAAUCAUCUCUCAAGAUACAACGACCAUACCAAGCCAUAAGAGCACUCCAAAUGAUUUCGAUCAGCGAACUCGAAUGAAAUUUCCUUUCUUCCAUAAACAUGACUUGCAUGCAAAAUAUGAUUACUUUUACAAAGUAUUUUAUGCAACAUGACAUAAAAUGAAUAAUAUGAAAUUAUAAAUGAACGUUCAAGGGAUCCUAUAUAUAGAAGUUAAAAGGUUGUGGGUGAAGGGACAUACUUCAAAUUCAGCAUUUUUCAUGAAAAGUUGCAACCCAAUUGUCGCUAGAGCGAUGAUUCUUACCUGUUGAAUUUUGAUUUCCUUCAAAUAUUGGACCAAAUUUCUCAUUCAUACGAAUUGGUCUUCCAACACAAAGUAUAUUCAAAAUUCACGAAACCAGGAAAUAAAGAAUUCUUUACAUAAAAAAUAUUAAGAGUCCUUCCAUCCAGCCGUCUUAGCUCAGCCGGUAGAGCGCGUGGCUUUUAACCACGUGGUCGUGGGUUCGAUUCCCACAGACGGCGUUUUGUGAUGUACUGUCCGAUGGUCUCACAAAUUUACAAUUUUUUUUAAUAUUCUUUAAAUUUCAUAAUGAAAAAAAUGUUAUGUUACUUCAGAUAAUAUAAAUUUCCAUUCUUUUGCUUGGAAAAUUUAAUCCUGGUCCAAUCUUUUGAUCAUAACAUCGAUCAAACUUGGUUAUUAAACUCCUAUUCGGUGUUCCUAUUUAGUAGAUUUUCAGCAAAUUUGAUCCUGAAUUGUGGGGCAAAUAAAUAAAUGAAGCCUACAGACAAAACCAUUUGUGUAGCUAGUCAGGAUAGUUAUGCUAUUCACCUACUCAAGGCCCUAAUGGGUCACUUGAUCCACCAGAUUCAAGUUGGAUUUUUUUUUUUUUUUUUUUACUAAAAAACCAAAAAUUAUAAUUGGGUGAUAAUGAUAGUUGGGCGCUUUUUUUUUUUUUUUCAAAAAAAAGUACCAAUAAUGACCGAACAAUUAAGAGAGUGAGAUGAAAUUAUUUUAUCAUUUGUGAUAUUUAAUUUGAAAAUUCUUUAAAAAUUUAUUCAUCAUAUAUGUGAGACUAUUUGAAAUACUUUGAGAAUUGUUAUUUAUUAUAUAGAUGAUUUUUGUGAAUUUGUGAUAGUGAUCAUAUGUAUGUAUUUUUGUAGAAUACAUAAUUUUUUGUAACUUUUUAAUAAAUUUGAUUGUGCCUCCACUAGUUCCAAAUGUCUGCAUUCGUCACUGGACUAUUCAUCUAAUUAUUAUCAUGUAUACCUUUAACAAGUUUGUCAAAAGAUUGAAUUAUUGCUCCCAAUAAAUACACAAGACCACCAUUUUUUCCAUCAAAUUUCUAUUGAGGACAAAAUAGACUUUACAUCAAAAUGCCACAAGUUAAUUUGAAGAUUUGUUCUUUGGUUUCAGCCGGUGCCUACUACAAGGCAUUAUUAUUAUUAUUAUUAUUUUAUUAUUAUUAUUAUUUUUUUUUUUUUAAAACCAAGUUUGGACCAGACAGGCUAAAUUUUAGGAGUCAAGUAGGAUGUUAUUGAUUUUACUGGAAAACAUGGAGUCAAUGUUGGGAAUCUACUUAAACGUGCACAGCGAAAAUAAAAUAAUUUUCGAUUUUCAUCAGGAUUCAUCUUUAUGUCUAGAUAAAAAUUGUGAUUAAAGGCAUACAUUUUCUAAAUCUGCAAACUCUUUUGCUUUUUCUUUGUUCCAAUGGUCUUGAUUUGUCACCUACAGCUGUCCAAUUGUCCAACCUACAACGAUAAUCCAUAUCGAUCAUAUUUUUCACUCUACUAUUAAGUCAAUAUAAAUCGAAAACUCGUUUUCGACUUAUGAGUACACUUUAACCAAGGAUUUCGUUAUCAACUUAAAUGAAUGAAAUACAGAUCAUAAUAUCUUACUAUCUAAGAGUGACGAAUCCUUUAUUGGUCAUUCACAACUUUCAUACGAUUUUUGACAUAUCCGAAUGAUACCGUAUUAGCGGCCCUUGACAGAGCAACAUCCAAUACCGUCAAAGCAUUACUGUCUUUAUAUAAGGCACUAUGACGACCUUAAGUCAAAGGAUCAAUCCCAUUACGAAACGUUAGAGAUUAACCACUGACACUCAGAUAGUUAUUCAUGUGGAAUCUUUAAGCGGGUCUCCAAUGUUUAGUUCUAUAACAAAACAUCCACGUGUUCAUUCAAGUGUAACCAUACUUUAGCUUGUGAGAUCAGUUACUUACUUCACAAGUAAUAAAUGUCACACAUGAUGAUCUAUCCAUAAUAAUAAUAUCCGUAUCUCGUUAUUACUUACAACCACGGACGUUUUAAGAUUCAAUCAUAUGUAAUUUGUAUCUCACAAUCACAACUUCCUGUGAUUAACAAAUUACGAAAAUUUGAAUUUACAGACUCUAUUAUUAAAUUUAAUUGUCUAUUAAUUAAAUAAUAGAUCUAUUAUUAAAUUGCAUUAAUCAUAUAUUAAAAGUAUUUAUGUCCAAAGUUGAUUGAACAUAGGACAUAACACUUACAUUCAAAAACUUUUAUUGAUUGGUUAAGAAAUAGGCUUUUCCGUAUCACAUGCCAAUUCUUGGUGAAGAAAAAUUUAGGGUAAAACUCCAAAAAUCUUUGGGAAUACAAAAUUCCAUAUGCCAAAGCAAGUCAAACAAACAUAUAUAAAGAUCAAAUAGUGUAUAGCAUAAGAUUAAAUAAGGUAACGGCUCAUGCAUUUUCUUGAAUAAAGAAAUGUUCAUUUAUUGAAGAACAAUGCCAAUAGUACCUUCAAUGAAAAAGAGAGAACCAUCAACUAUAUUUUGAGAUUUUUUGGCCAAUGGAUACAUAGAAGGAUGAUACUACAUGUACAUAAUGAUAUUCAUAACGAUAUUCACCUCCUCACAUGGAAAGGGACCCACUUUGUAUAAAUUAUAUGGUAUUCACUUUCCUUACAUGGAGGUGAUCUACUUUGAAUAAAAUAUAAUUUAUAAAAAGUGGAUCUCCUUUCAUGUGAGGAGGUGAAUACUAUUAUGAAUAUCGCAUUAUAUGCAAGUAGCAUAUUCUUACAUAGAAUAUGAAGAUUUGGGACUAGUCUAUUAAUUAUGAUACAGGUUAUUCUGGGGGUACGUCACCCAUUACAUGAUGGUGUCCAUUUGAGCCCCCUAUUGGAGGGGCAUCGAUGUUCAUUUUGGAUGCUCUUAUGUUCCUCCUAAUGUAUUCCAAGAAUUAUCCUUAUGAUACACAUGCAAUUCACUUUUCUUUGAGUUUUUUCUAAUGCUAUUUUAACGAAGUCAAGCUGCCUUAAAUUACACAUGGAUUUGAGUAGGACGUUCUACAGUAUAAAAUUUAUACGAAUAAUAGAUAAAUGCAUAUGCUUGUUUUAAUUGUAAAAACUCAAAAUAUCAAUGGGCCUUAUUUAUUGAAAUUUAAAAUUUAGUUGAAUUUUUGAUGCUGAAAUACUAGGGAUCUUAUGGAUGAAAACAUGAUCUUUGUCAAUCCCAUUGAAUUUUAUGCAGAGGAACCUUAAUUUGUGUACUCCCAACUCAUGUCCGCAUUAGAUACAAGGAUUUUGAGACUACGUUUUGACGAUCAAUGUUAACGACAGCAAAGCUCAAGCCUAGAUCUCUUGUUUGGAACUUCUUGUUCCAUUGAUUAUCCUCCUAAUACAUUUUGGACACGUAACAACAUUAUCUAAAAAAAAAAGACAUUUAAGGGAUGGUAAAAAAUUGAUGAUUUCCAGACAACCAUCUCAAUUUGACACAAGUAAAUUUGUUAGAAUAGUCAAUAAUGAAAUAGCUAGUCGAGUAAUUUCAUGCAUUUUGUCCAUACAGACUUGGGCCAAGUCAUUCAAUUAGUGAAUUUUCACGGGCAACACUAUGCUAGAGGAUAAUGCUCGCUGUGAACACAAGAAUGUAACAGUGAUCUCACUAUGAUAUAGACAGAUGUACUUCAAUGGUGCUUAUAAAUUGCUUAUAAGAAUGCUAAACAGAACAACUUUUACAUAGUAUCAUAAUAAAUAGAGCCUGCGGGCUACAUUUACUUCCUUUCCUUUUCUUGCAGCCGCUUCAGCCUCCACACUUCACGAACACAAUAUAAAAACUUGCAACACAACCAGCAAAAGUAGAAAAACCACACACCUCACUUUUACUUAUCCUAUUUUAAUAUUCUAUCUUCAACUUUUCCCAAGAAAAAGUGGAAAUUUUGAAGGUUGAAAAGUAGUGAAAACCUAGUAAUAGUAAGUCUUAAAUAUUGGGACUUAUUUAUGUUUUCUUAAACCUUGAAGUUCUUGCCCAUAAAGGUCUGUCCAAACUGCCAAUUAUCUGGUGCCACGUUCAUGGAGGUGCAUGACCGAUGGUCACCGGACGUAACUCUAAAGGACAAAGCCUGGCCUGUAGAAGUCCCGUCAAUUGGACCCUUAAUCAAUAUGAACCUGUUUGUGUUUCUUUAGUUGUUUAUAUGAAUUUUUGUUCAUUUAUCUUGUUAAUUAGGUCAUGUAUCCCCUCCACUAUAUGUUUCUGUUCUGUGCUAUAAUUGCUAAGUUUUGAAUAUAGAUGGAUAUAUGAGCAGCAAAUGAAAUUACAGUUCAUGUCCUCUGCAUUUGCUGAGUUAAGGGUAUUUUUUCUUAAUUUCCUACUGAACCUGCAAGAAAGAACAAUAUAUGACACUGUCAGUUCUUGUCUCCUGGUUCACUACAUGAUUUGUGCUUGAAGUAUUGUUAUUUUUAAGUAAUUGGCAAUGAACGGUGACGAUUUUGAAUUUUUGGAGUAUAAUUCUAAUGUAAUUAAUUUUUUUGACCAAACUGGAUAAUAUGUGUAGGUGCUAUUUCAUGUAAAAAUGUGAGCGGAAAUGGGACAGAAUUAAGUAAAUCAGGCAGCAAGGCCUCGUCCAUACCCUCGACUCCUUGGAGUGAGGGUGAGAUCUUGCAGUCCUCCAACUUGAAAAGCUUCACUUUCAGUGAUCUUAAAGCAGCCACAAGAAACUUUCGCCCCGACAGUGUAUUAGGGGAAGGGGGUUUUGGUUCUGUUUACAAAGGAUGGGUUGACGAACACUCACUUGCAGCAUCAAAGCCUGGGGCUGGGAUCGUUAUAGCUGUUAAGAGGCUAAACCAAGAAGGGUGGCAGGGUCACAAGGAAUGGUUGGUAUGUCCGAUAUUCACCUUAAACUUCUCAACUUUAUCAAGAAGUAAGUCAAUUUUGUAAUUAAAAAUGCUAUUCUCAGUUGAAAACAUGUCAUGGCAUGGUCAAGACUCCCAUGUUCUUGGAAAUUUUUGAACCAUAUUUGUCGCUUAAUUUUUCAAAGCAUAUCUGUCGAAUAAUUUUGAUUGAUAUGCAUUUGCUUGAAGUAGGAUUUGACAAUUAAUGUCUGCAGUUAUAAUAUAGUGCAAACAUAGUUGUACACUUUGAUAAUUUCCUUUUCAUUGAUAAGCUUAAUUUUUAAUUUUCAGGCAGAAAUUAACUAUCUUGGGCAGCUUCGCCAUUCUAAUCUUGUGAAAUUAAUUGGUUACUGUUUAGAGGAUGACCACAGAGUUUUGGUUUAUGAGUUCAUGCCCAAGGGUAGCAUGGAGAAUCAUCUAUUCAGGAGUGAGUUCAGUGUACCCCCUUAUGCGUACCAUAAAUAACUUAGUGAAUAUUGCUGACGAAUUCUAGUUGACACGAUGGUUUUAUAUUGAACUAGGAGGUUCUUACUUCCAGCCACUUUCCUGGAGCCUAAGAAUGAGAAUUGCUCUAGGUGCUGCAAGAGGACUUGCCUUUCUUCACAGUGCUGAGGCAAAAGUAAUAUAUCGAGACUUCAAAACUUCCAAUAUCUUGCUUGAUUCGGUAAGUAUAAUCUUUCUUGCUCUAGUUUUAACUAUUUCAUUUUCAGCAUGGUUUAUAUUCAUUUUAACGACUUCUGAAUGGGUAAAAUAUAAUUUUGCUUCGUGUGAUUUUGAUUGGCAGAACUACAAUGCAAAACUUUCUGAUUUUGGGUUAGCGAGGGAUGGGCCAACUGGUGAUAAGAGUCACGUCUCAACUCGAGUUUUGGGAACUUAUGGAUACGCUGCUCCUGAGUAUCUAUCCACAGGUACUCAUGUCAUGCAGUUUCCGCCCUAGAACUUUGUUUGACUAAUAAGAGUUCAUCAAUUUACUGGUUUUUCCUUUAAUUUGCAUCAGAUAGUGCACGCUAUCCUAAUAGAUAUUUUUCAUUUUGUGCUUUUGGGGAAGGCCAGGCCAUUUAACUGUCAGGAGUGAUGUAUACAGCUUUGGAGUGGUACUUUUAGAAAUUCUGUCUGGUAAGAAAGCAAUAGACAAGAAUCGUCCAUCGGGGGAGCACAAUCUGGUUGAAUGGGCAAAACCUUAUCUUGUUAACAAACGUAGAAUGUUGCGCAUUCUUGAUUCCCGUCUUGAAGGCCAGUACUCUACGGAUCAAGCCUUAAAGGCAGCUACCGUUGCGCUUCAAUGCUUAUGCACGGAACCCAAGUUGAGGCCAAAAAUGAUCGAGGUCGUAACUGCUUUAGAACAGGUUCAAGAGUCGAAGAACACUUCAAAAAUUGAUCAGAACUGUCACAUAUCAAAUCAACACAGCCAACAUCACAAGGGACAUAGGUCACACCGAAGCAGUGCUGAAGAAACUCGUGGAGUAACGGCUUAUCCCAGACCUGCAGCUUCCCCACUUUACGCGUAAGAGAAGAAAGAGAGGCAUGGCAUAAUCUUAUUUGGUUUAGCAUAAACUUCUUUCUGGUUAACUAUAUUUUGAAAGGUAUGUACAGUUUUUAUUGUGGCUAUAUGCUUUUGUACUCGAUAGGAC
RNAcentral lists this long non-coding RNA (7818 nucleotides) under Olea europaea (common olive). RNAcentral's name for it is "long non-coding RNA (OEUR_LNC014314)". The stretch from base 1520 to 1592 matches the Rfam family "tRNA". Lineage: Eukaryota; Viridiplantae; Streptophyta; Magnoliopsida; Lamiales; Oleaceae. The record is from RNAcentral.